UAACCCUAUCUCUUGUUUCCCCACACAUACGGACUCUAAAAAUAGCCUAUACUUAUGUAUUUCGAAAUUACAUGGGCCUGGCCCAAUAAUAAGGUGACGCAGCACGUAGAAUAGCCUCUGGACGAAAUUUAUGAAGUGGCAUCUUGUAUAUUUCGUCCAAGGCUUCAUGCACUCAUUAUGGUGGCUUCAAAGUCCUGAAAUCAUCACUUGUAACUCCAUUCUUGUCCCCCUUGCGCAUGCCAUCAUCUCCAUGCUUGUUCUUGCUCCAAUGUUCAUCCUUCUCCAAGCUAGGCCCUUCAUUUGUAAGCAAAACAAAUGUAUCCAAUUUAGGCAGCAUCAUAUUCUCAUGAACAUUAGAAUCAUUACCAAGAAACGAAAGUACCUGGUAAUUUAGUUGGCGUGCACGAGCUCUAGUAAUUGGUCCAGUAUGUAUAGCAGCAGGGGCUGUGGGUGUAACAAUUGUAUUGAUGUCCUCAUCAUCCUCCCCUUCUUUAAAUGAAGUCGUCCUCGACGGAACUUCAUCUUCCUCACCCAAAUAUGGCUUCAAAUCUGCAAUGUUAAAAGUGGGACUAACCCCAAAAUCUGUAGGCAGCUCAAGUUUAUAUGCAUUAUCAUUUACUUUCUCCAACACCUUAAAGGGACCAGCAGCACGUGGCAUUAGCUUUGAUUUGCGCAAAUCAGGAAAUCUAUCCUUACGCAAAUGUAACCAAACAAGAUCUCCAGGUGCAAACACAACAUGUUUUCUACCCUUAUCUCCAGCAAGUUUAUAUUUAGCAUUCAUACGCUCAAUGUUUUCCUUAGUUAACUCAUGCAUUUUUAAAAUCAAUUCAGCACGUUCUUUAGCAUCAAAAUUAACCUUCUCCGAAGAUGGAAGAGGAAAUAAAUCAAUAGGUGCACGAGGUAGGAAACCAUACACAACUUCAAAAGGGCACAUCUUAGUAGUAGAAUGCAAUGAACGAUUAUAAGCAAAUUCAAUAUGAGGCAAGCAUUCCUCCCACAUUUUCUUAUUAUUCUUUAGAACAGCCCUAAGCAUAGUAGACAGUGUUCUAUUGACUACUUCAGUUUGUCCAUCAGUUUGGGGGUGACAAGUAGUACUAAAAAGCAGUUUAGUCCCCAACUUAGCCCAUAAACAUCUCCAAAAGUGGCUAAGAAAUUUAGUAUCACGAUCUGAAACAAUAGUAUUUGGCACACCAUGCAAGCGAAUAAUUUCACGAAAGAACAAAUCAGCAACAUUAACAGCAUCAUCGCUUUUAUGACAUGGUAUAAAAUGUGCCAUUUUCGAGAAUCUAUCCACGACAACAAAUAUGCUAUCCCUCCCCUUCUUUGUUCUAGGUAAACCUAAAACAAAGUCCAUAGAUAUAUCCUCCCAAGGAACACUAGGUACAGGCAAAGGCAUAUAUAAACCAUGAGGAUUGAGUCGUGACUUAGCUUUUUGACAUGUAGUGCAGCGAGCAAUAAAACGCUCAACAUCCCGUCUCAUCUUUGGCCAAUAGAAAUGUGUAGCAAGUACGUCCUCCGUCUUCUUCACGCCAAAGUGUCCCAUUAGUCCUCCUCCAUGCGCCUCCUGCAACAACAAAAGACGAACGGAGCUAGCUGGAAUGCAUAGCUUGUUAGCACGGAACACAAAUCCAUCAUUAACGACAAACUUGUUCCAUGUUCUUCCUUCUUUAAAAUUCUGCAAUACAUCUUUAAAAUCAGCAUCAUGCACAUAUUGAUCUUUGAUGGUCUCCAAACCAAAUAUUUUGAAGUCAAGUUGUGAAAGCAUAGUAUAGCGAUGAGACAAUGCAUCAGCAAUAACAUUUUCUUUACCCCUCUUGUGUUUAAUGACAUAAGGGAAAGUCUCAAUGAAUUCAACCCAUUUAGCAUGUCUACGAUUCAGUUUAGCUUGACUUUUAAUAUGUUUCAAAGAUUCAUGAUCAGAAUGUAUAACAAAUUCUUUGGGCCAUAAAUAAUGUUGCCAUGUUUCUGAAGUCCGAACAAGAGCAUAUAAUUCUUUAUCAUAAGUAGAAUAAUUCAGACUAGGCCCACUCAAUUUUUCAGAAAAGUAUGCAACAGGUUUGCCAUCUUGUAAUAACACACCUCCUAAUCCAAUUCCACUAGCAUCACAUUCAAGCUCAAAAGUCUUAUUAAAAUCAGGAAGUUGGAGUAAAGGAGCAUGUGUCAACUUAUCUUUCAAUACCGUGAAGGCUUCUUCCUGUGCAGUACCCCAAACAAAAGGCACAUCCUUCUUUGUAAGCUCAUUGAGAGGUGCAGCAAUGGUGCUGAAAUCUCUCACAAAAUGCCUAUAGAAUCCAGCGAGGCCAAGAAAACUCCUCACUUGUGUGACCGUUUUGGGCUGCGGCCAACUCUCAAUAGCUUCAAUCUUGGCUUUAUCAACUUCAAUUCCCUGUGGAGUAACAACAUAGCCAAGAAAAGACACUCGGUCGGUGCAAAAGGUGCACUUCCCAAGGUUACCAAACAAACGUGCAUCACGUAGAGCAAUAAAAACGGCACGUAAAUGUUCCAAAUGUUCCUCCAAAGAUCUGCUAUAAAUCAAUAUGUCAUCAAAGUAAACUACCACAAAUCGUCCAAUGAAAGCACGUAAAACUUCGUUCAUUAAUCUUAUGAAAGUACUAGGUGCAUUAGUUAACCCAAAAGGCAUGACUAACCACUCAUAUAAUCCAAACUUAGUUUUAAAUGCUGUUUUCCAUUCAUCCCCCAAUUUCAUAUGAAUUUGAUGGUAUCCACUACGCAAAUCAACUUUGGAGAAUAUUGUAGAGCCACUCAAUUCAUCAGGCAUAUCAUCUAGCCUAGGAAUAGGAUGACGAUAACGAAUAGUAAUAUUAUUAAUGCCUCUACAAUCAACACACAUACGCGAUGUACCAUCCUUUUUCGGCACUAGAAUAAUAGGAACAGCACAAGGACUAAGGGAUUCGCGUAUAUAACCUUUGUCGAGAAGCUCUUGUACUUGACGCAUAAUCUCCUUCGUCUCCGCUGGAUUGGUACGGUAUGGCGCACGGUUUGGCAGUGAAGCACCGGGAAUUAAGUCAAUCUGAUGCUCAAUCCCUUGAAUAGGCGGUAAUCCCGGUGGCACGUCUUGUGGAAAGACGUCAGCGAACUCUUGCAAAAUGUUAGUGACAGCAGGAGGCAAAGAGGAAGGCACGUCCUCGAAUGAAAAUAAUGCCUCUUUGCACACAAAAGCAUAGCAAACUGAUUUGCUAAAAUCUAGCUCAUCAAUAUCAGAUUUAGUGGCAAGUAAACAUGCACUUUUUAAUUUAAUUUCAGAAGCAACACUAGAUGGUUUACUAUGAGGCUUCAUAUGUUGCUCAAAUUCUUUUGCCACAAUCUGAUUUUCACUCUGAUUUUUCUCCUGUUUUGCUUUAUUAGCUCUAUUAAUAUCAUCUUUCAAAAUGGACUCAGGAGUCAUAGGAAGCAAAGUAAUAUUUUUAUCCUUAUGAACAAGAGUGUACUGAUUGUUUCUACCAUGGCGUACAGAAUUUUUAUCAAAUUGCCAUGGUCGACCAAGUAAUAAGGAACAUGCUUGCAUAGGUACCACAUCACAAUCAACAUAAUCAGCAUAUGUAGAGAUACUAAAAUGCACACGAACAAUACGUGUUACCUUAACCUUGCUGCUGUUGUUGAACCAUUGGAUGUAGUAAGGAUGUGGAUGUGGUCUUGUGGUGAGAGAUAGCUUCUCCACCAUCUCCAUGCUAGCCAAGUUGUUGCAGCUCCCUCCGUCUAUGAUGACGCGCACAGAACGUUCCUUCACAACUCCCUUGGUAUGGAACAAAUUGUGCCUCUGAUUUUGCUCAGCUUGUGUGACCUGCACACUCAAAACACAUUGAGCAACUAAACAUUCAUACCUGUCAGCGUCUUCAGGAGCCAUGUAUUGCGUCUCAUGAUCAGAAUCAUCUCCACCGUGGUCUUCACGUGUAAUAAGAGCCAACGUCUCCUCAUCAUAGUCACUAGCGGACUCAUACCCACCAUCCUCAGUAGCAAUCAUCACACGCUGAGAUUUGCAUUCUCUUGCAUAAUGACCUCUUCCCUUACAACGACGACAAAUAAUAUCACUGGUGUGCCCAGUUGAUGCCAUGGAAGAAGAAGAGCUCUGUGUAGGCCCGACAGGUGCGCUCUUGGCAGAUAGUGGAGGUUGUGCCUGCUUUCUUGUAUCACGGCUGGAGGUAGCAGCUGAUGGAGGUGCUGGUGUAGUGGAAGUAGAGGAUGCACGCGGUGUCCAUGAUGAAAGUCGACCUGCAGAAAAGUUAGUUCGCGCCAAUGCUUGUCGAUCCUGCACUUCACGUUCAGCUUUACAAGCAAGAUGGAAUAAACGAGUGAUAUUAGUAUACUCCUUAUACUCUAGAAUGGUCUGAAUCUCUCUAUUUAAUCCACCUAUAAAACGUGCAAGCAUAGCUUCAUCCUCCUCAACAAUACCACAUCUAAUCAUGCCAGUUUGUAAUUCCUGAUAAUAUUCUUCUACAAAAUUUUUUCCUUGUCUUAAACGCUGCAAUUUUUGAAGCAAUUCACGUUGAUAAUAUGGUGGAACCCAACGAGUACGCAUAGCAGUUUUCAAAGCAGCCCAAGUAGCGGGAAUAGGAUAUAAUCUACAAUGUUCAGACCACCAUACACAUGCAAAACUAGUGAAAGCACAAACAGCAGCAGCAACCCGUCUCUCCUCGGGAUAUUGUAAACAUGUAAAACGUUGUUCAGUUUCUAACUCCCAAGUAAGAUAUAUAUCAGGAACAUAUCUACCCUCAAAUGGUGGAAUAUUCAAUUUCAGUUUAGGAAUAUGGACAUCAUCUCGUACCUGAGGUGGUGGUGCAGGCCUACCAUUACGAAUAUAUACCUGAGGUCGACCUGCUGGUGGUGGUGCUGGUGGCUGCACGUAGUUCUGAUUUUGAUCAACCUCAUCCUCAUAAUCGCCCGCAUACUCAUCAUCCUCCUCGGUACCAGCAGCAGCAGUAGCAGGAGCCAAAGAAGCACCAACAGUAGUAGCAACGGCACCAGAAUUUUGUCCUGGCUCAAUAGGAACACGCUGAGCUCGUCCAUACUGAUUCGGAAGGGGGCGUAGUUGUUGUCAUUGCAGAGGUGCGAUAGGUGCAGCCGGCGGUGGUUGUGGAAAACGCGCGAGCAAUUCCUUAAACUUGCUAUCAAGCUUUGUUUCAAACGUCUUCUCAAUGCCAUCUAUCUUCUCCAUGGCCUCGUCAAAUCUGUUUAGCACAUCUUGCACCUGUCCACUCAUCAUUUGCUGAAAUUUAUCAUGUAGCUGUUUGUUCGUCAGGUUCUCCCAAUCAGUCUCAUCGGCUUGUGAUCCUACCAUGGUUAGCAGCAAAUAGAAACACACAAGAAUAUGAUCCUACAGACUACUAAGAAGUGGUGGUGGUGUAUCACAAACCCGUCAAGCAAAUCUCAAAUUCUUACCAGUUCUUACCCAGCAGCAGGUGGUGAUCCGCAACCGUUGUAGUCAAAACUCUCAAAGCUUGGAUAUAGCGAUUACCAGGGAGAAUCAAACGCACGACGUAGAUGUAUGUGGAGCUGGGAAGGCUUAUAAUAUGGUAGCAAAAAAAAGGUCAGCAAUAAUCAAUUCAGAGAUGCAAAGUUGAAUAAACGCUCAACGACGGUACUGUGCUGGUCCUAGGCUAGACCGUGCUAGAGACGCGAGCCUAGAACACUAACAAAAUCACGGCGCUGCACGUAAACAAGGGAAAAGCACACUCUGGAAUUUUUUUUCGCUCCUCUUUUUUUUUGCGCUGCCUUUUUUUUGCGCUGCUCUUUUUUUUUGCAAAAAAUCACUAUAAUGGCGAGUGUCUCAAAACUCUUCCCAGGUCAAACUGACAGGAUGGGCACGAAAUUUUUUCGACCAAUUUUUUUUUCGACUGCCUGGACCCAAAAACUGGAAACGGGUCAAAAAAACUUUCUAUAACGGCGACUGUCUCAAUACGCUUAGAAACACCUAAAAAUAGGAUAGCCAGAAUUUUUUUUGUCAAUUUCAUUUUCUGGAAAUUUUGGGCCUAAACGGAGGGUGGUUUCCGGACUCUUUUUUUUGGAAACGAACCUCUUCUACGGACGGCAAAAGAUUGCUGGAAUCCGAAACCUACUCAGACUAGGAAACACGAAUCGGAAAUUAGAUGGAUCCCAAAAACAAACCUAAUAUGCAAGGAACUCGGAUUGGUGGUGGAUAUAUGAUGGUAGGAUAUGGCAGCGGUGGUGGUAUAUGAUAGCGGCGGUGGUAUAUGGAUACGGAUUCGAAGCGGUGGCGGAUAAGCGGUGGUGGUAGAUGGCAGGGGCGAUGAUGAUGGUGCGGCGGCGGCGUGACAACUUAUGACCAGAACUCGAAACUCUAAAAGACUAGACUCUAAGACCAGCAACUAGACACGACGAUGCAACCGCAAAUUCAACAACGCAAAUACAGAAAAGAUUAUGCAAAGGCUCAGAUUGGAUCGGAUAUGAUGAACUAACCCUAAUUUUUGUGUGUGGCUUUUUCGUGGACUGUAGGUAUGAAGAACAGACUCGAUCUAAACUACGAAAAACUGUAAAAUCUCACAACCUGGAAAUCUGAUACCACUUGAUAGAGGCAAAGGUGUCCCGUCUUUCGAUGAGAUGGUGGAUUUCGCUUUGGUGGAAGUCGACUUUGACGAUCCGACUACGAACGUGCGAGGACGUCGUGCCUUAGCAAUCGCUAAAUCAACUCCGAGAGGUUAUUGACCACGCCGGAGCACGAUCAACCUGACCAUGAAGGUCUGUUUCCUACGAGCAAACGAAGAACAAGCCAGAAACUGAGAUUGCAAUCUGGAUAUUGCGAAUAUAAGAUGAAAGCUUUAUUGAUCAAGGUGGGGUUCUGUGACGCCUUUGUCUGGUCGUUGAACACAAACGAAGUACGCGAAGUUGCAGCUAUGGCGAACUUUUAAUCUAAACAAAACCCAAAGUCUAAACGGUGCCCUAAGGGCUGUAUAUAUGGAGGAAGAGGGGGUGAAUUUCGUGGCCCUUGGUGGAGGGGUCCGAAACUAACCCUAUCUCUUGUUUCCCCACACAUACGGACUCUAAAAAUAGCCUAUACUUAUGUAUUUCGAAAUUACAUGGGCCUGGCCCAAUAAUAAGGUGACGCAGCACCUAGAAUAGCCUCUGGACGAAAUUUAUGAAGUGGCAUCUUGUAUAUUUCGUCCAAGGCUUCAUGCACUCAUUAUGGUGGCUUCAAAGUCCUGAAAUCAUCACUUGUAACUCCAUUCUUGUCCCCCUUGCGCAUGCCAUCAUCUCCAUGCUUGUUCUUG
Molecule: long non-coding RNA, 7244 nt
Filed under: Triticum aestivum (bread wheat)
Lineage: Eukaryota; Viridiplantae; Streptophyta; Magnoliopsida; Poales; Poaceae
Description: long non-coding RNA (TAES_LNC027547)
Source: RNAcentral